This 613-nucleotide ribosomal RNA is filed under the name Cladophialophora minourae. Its description in RNAcentral is "eukaryotic LSU rRNA". It matches the Rfam family "Eukaryotic large subunit ribosomal RNA", at positions 38 to 667 of the family's 3401-position model. The record is from RNAcentral. Lineage: Eukaryota; Fungi; Ascomycota; Eurotiomycetes; Chaetothyriales; Herpotrichiellaceae.
GCAUAUCAAUAAGCGGAGGAAAAGAAACCAACAGGGAUUGCCUCAGUAACGGCGAGUGAAGCGGCAACAGCUCAAAUUUGAAAUCUGGCCUCUCGAGGUCCGAGUUGUAAUUUGUAGAGGAUGUUUCGGGUACCGCCUCGGUUUAAAUUUCUUGGAACAGAAUGUCAGAGAGGGUGAGAAUCCCGUCUUGGACCGGUGGUAGGGCCUAUGUGAAACUCCUUCGACGAGUCGAGUUGUUUGGGAAUGCAGCUCAAAAUGGGUGGUAAAUUUCAUCUAAAGCUAAAUAUUGGCCAGAGACCGAUAGCGCACAAGUAGAGUGAUCGAAAGAUGAAAAGCACUUUGAAAAGAGAGUUAAACAGUAUGUGAAAUUGUUGAAAGGGAAGCGCUUGCAACCAGACUUGAGCGCGGCGGUUCCCCCUCGCUUCUGCUUGGGUUACUCCGCCGUGUCCAGGCCAACAUCGGUUCUAGGGGUCGGUCAAAGGCCCUGGGAAUGUAUCUACCUACGGGUAGACUUAUAGACCAGGGUGCCAUGCGACCUCCCGGGACCGAGGAACGCGCUUCGGCUCGGAUGUUGGCGUAAUGGUUGUCAGCGACCCGUCUUGAAACACGGACC